UAUGAACAGUGUUACAAAAAAAAUAUAAAAACUAAUCCCACUGUUCAUCUUCUUCCUCCCUCCUUGCAUCAGGGCCGUCCACCUUCCUCCCGUCAAUCCCGCGUCGAUCCGCCGCCCGUGCCAACCCCAGCCCAUUCCAAGCUCCAUCGCGAUGAGGCCAUCAACAGCCCGCACGCGGUGAACGCCGGUAAUCCAGCCAUCCCUCCGCCUCUUCAUNN
This 218-nucleotide long non-coding RNA is filed under the name Phoenix dactylifera (date palm). RNAcentral's name for it is "long non-coding RNA (PDAC_LNC011920)". The record is from RNAcentral. Lineage: Eukaryota; Viridiplantae; Streptophyta; Magnoliopsida; Arecales; Arecaceae.